AUUCGAUUUUGGAAUUUUUGAUUAUUUAAUUGUGGAAAUGAUUAUAUAAAUGGAAUAUUUCACUUGGGAGUUGAUUUUAUGGAACAAAUGUAUAUUAAAUGGGUGGAAUUGUGGUUACUAGUUUCACUAGAUUAGAGAGUAAAAUUAGUUUAAACUUGGGAAGAAGGUUUUGUUGAUGAAUUAGUUAUUAGAAAAGGGAUUAGAAAGUGGGAUUAGCUCCAGUUGAUCAAAAGAAUAUUUGGGAAAUUCAUUCGAGUAUCGACCAAUUUUAGUUAAGUAUUAUAGAAGUAGAUCUUAAAGUUUCUUAAUUUAAUAGUGGUUGAUUAAUCAUCUUGUUAUGUAUUCCAGGUGGUGACGAGGAGAUUGGAAGAGCCUAUCGACCAUCUUAGGUUCAGCUUGUAUUAUAUAGUAGCUGAGUUGAGCACUACUGGGCCAGUUGAUCUAUCAAGUUGAGCCAUAGAUUGUCAAGCAUUGUAUGAAUUAUUUUUUCAAUUUAAUAGUUCAUAUUUUGGGAUAGACACCUCUUUUGGUUAUAAAUUAAUUCCAUGUGUUGGGCUUGCUAUGUUUUGUAUAUAUAUUAUGCAUUUUUGGUACUGUGGUUUAGAAAUUGUUGCAAAAGUCGAAUUGCUAGUGUUGUAUUUGAAUAGUUGAUAUUUUGAGGGGCCGGUGUACCCUAUUUCAAACUAUAUGUACAUAUUUGGGAUAUUUGAUUUUAUUUUCAUGUGGUUUUAGAACAUUUUUCAGAGGGAACUCUUCCGAAAUUUUUAUAAAAUUAUAACAGUCAAAGCAUGUCAAGUUUGCUUUGGUGGUGGGUUCAACACUUCGCUGGUAUCUACCAUCGACGCACGAUACAUGUCGGAUCCAUUAGGUGAUCGGGAUGGGUCGUGUCAGAGAGCAAGGUGAAAACUGAGUUCGAUAAGGUGGUUGGUCUGAGAGACGAAGCUUUGAAUCUUCAUUUUGUCUUCGAAAAAGAAAGGCAUUUCAUGCUGAAGAAAAUAGAGCAACGGAAGAGUGUCUAAUCAAAGCAGAAACAGAGAUAGAGCCCAAAGCUAAGGUUGAAGAAGAGUUGAAACACAAGCUUCAAGUGAUGAAGACCUGAGAGAAGGUUUCGGCACGUGCUGAAAAUGAGAAAAAAGCUGCUAAAGAGCAAGCUCGUGUCGAAGAUGAGAAGAAGAGGUUAGAAGAAGAGUGAGCUUGCACUAAUAAAUAAAAAGAGUCUAAAAGGGCUGAUAAGGAGUGGGAUUAUGCUAAUGAAUUGAGGCUGAAGUAGAUUGGAAGAGUUCACCUGCUUAUGAUCCAUUAGCCCAGGUGCCUACGUGGUGGGCCUGGCUAAAGUGAUGAGACAUAUUGAGCCUAAGAGGCUAAAGUUUGGUGUUGGCUUCUUGUAUAAAGCUUUGGACGAACAAAGAGCCUCACUUGUCGAGAUUAAUGCUGUUGUUGGAAUUGUUCCAGCUCCUUCAUAGAAUUAGCCACUUACCAUAUAGGAUUUUUAGGUUGUUUUUACAUUCUUUUUGUUGAAUGUUGAAAUACGUUUCUCCAACUCAUGUAAUCCUCCUCUAAUGGAUAAUGGAUAUCACGAUGUUUAUUGUUGUUA
Olea europaea var. sylvestris is the source of this 1594-nucleotide long non-coding RNA. RefSeq lists it as uncharacterized. The record is from RefSeq and is a predicted model, not a curated record. Lineage: Eukaryota; Viridiplantae; Streptophyta; Magnoliopsida; Lamiales; Oleaceae. The transcript has 3 exons.